UACGUAGGGGGCAAGCGUUGUCCGGAUUUAUUGGGCGUAAAGGGUGCGUAGGCGGUCGGGUAAGUCUGAUGUGAAAUCUCACAGCUUAACUGUGAAACUGCAUUGGAUACUAUCCGGCUAGAGGAAUGGAGGGGAGACUGGAAUACUUGGUGUAGCAGUGAAAUGCGUAGAUAUCAAGUGGAACACCAGUGGCGAAGGCGAGUCUCUGGACAUUUCCUGACGCUGAGGCACGAAAGCCAGGGGAGCAAACGGG
RNAcentral lists this ribosomal RNA (253 nucleotides) under uncultured bacterium. RNAcentral's name for it is "partial 16S ribosomal RNA". It matches the Rfam family "Bacterial small subunit ribosomal RNA", at positions 524 to 776 of the family's 1533-position model. The record is from RNAcentral.